Molecule: signal recognition particle RNA, 265 nt
Filed under: Clostridia bacterium
Lineage: Bacteria; Bacillati; Bacillota; Clostridia
Description: signal recognition particle sRNA large type
Rfam family: Bacterial large signal recognition particle RNA
About the family: The signal recognition particle (SRP) is a universally conserved ribonucleoprotein involved in the co-translational targeting of proteins to membranes. Archaeal SRP consists of a 7S RNA and homologues of the eukaryotic SRP19 and SRP54 proteins. In most bacteria, the SRP consists of a 4.5S RNA and the Ffh protein (a homologue of the eukaryotic SRP54 protein).
Source: RNAcentral
CCGUACUAGGUGGGGAGCCAGCGGUGCCCUGUAUCUGCAAUCCGCUACAGCAGAGCCGAUCGGUUGCCUCGGUAAGUUUUUGGGUGUAAGCUUUUGCUUUGACUAAGCGAUGAAAUCAGGGUCUUGGGCAAUAACGGCUUGUGAACCAUGUCAGGUCCGGAAGGAAGCAGCAUUAAGCAAGUUCUUUAUGUGCACCAAGGUUGCUUUGGUGGAGUAAGGUCUUUGCAAAAAUUGCACUUGAAGCUUAACAAAGCAACUUGUGCGG